GUCCUCGUACGAUCACCGCAGUUAAGUAACGUAGAGCCUGUUCAGUACCUAGAUUAGUGACCACUUGGGAAUACCAGGCGCUGUAAG
Molecule: non-coding RNA, 87 nt
Organism: Acanthosepion pharaonis
Lineage: Eukaryota; Metazoa; Mollusca; Cephalopoda; Sepiida; Sepiidae
Source: the annotation of a GenBank genome assembly